UCGCGGCUUAUCACCGGCAGUCCCCCUGGAGUGCCCAACUGAAUGAUGGCAACUAGGGGCGAGGGUUGCGCUCGUUGCGGGACUUAACCCAACAUCUCACGACACGAGCUAACGACAGCCAUGCAGCACCUGUCUCCGGUCCAGCCGAACUGAAGAACUCCAUCUCUGGAGUCCGCGACCGGGAUGUCAAGGGCUGGUAAGGUUCAGCGCGUUGCGUCGAAUUAAUCCGCAUGCUCCGCCGCUUGUGCGGGCCCCCGUCAAUUCCUUUGAGUUUUAGCCUUGCGGCCGUACUCCCCAGGCGGGGAACUUAAUGCGUUAGCUGCGGCACGGACCUCGUGGAAUGAGGCCCACACCUAGUUCCCACCGUUUACGGCAUGGACUAC
RNAcentral lists this unclassified non-coding RNA (383 nucleotides) under uncultured bacterium. RNAcentral describes it as "contains 16S-23S intergenic spacer region". The record is from RNAcentral.